UAGAGAUAGAGCCUUCCCCUUCGGGGGACAAAGUGACAGGUGGUGCAUGGUUGUCGUCAGCUCGUGUCGUGAGAAGUUGGGUGAAGGCACGGAACGAGCGCAACCCUUAAAGGUAGUGAGCAGCAUGUAGUUGGGCACUCUAAGUAGACUGCCGGUGACAAACCGGAGGAAGGUGGGGAUGACGGCAAAUAAUCAUGCCCCUUAUGAUUUGGGC
This 214-nucleotide ribosomal RNA is filed under the name Staphylococcus cohnii. RNAcentral's name for it is "partial 16S ribosomal RNA". It matches the Rfam family "Bacterial small subunit ribosomal RNA", at positions 1001 to 1214 of the family's 1533-position model. Lineage: Bacteria; Bacillati; Bacillota; Bacilli; Caryophanales; Staphylococcaceae. The record is from RNAcentral.